UCCUAGCCCUGAUAGAAGCGACAUCCUUAUGUGCCGGUGUUCGGCACGUAAGAUAUAGCGAAUAGCAGGAAAUAGC
This 76-nucleotide small RNA is filed under the name Flavobacterium urumqiense. Its description in RNAcentral is "Flavo-1 RNA". It matches the Rfam family "Flavo-1 RNA". Lineage: Bacteria; Pseudomonadati; Bacteroidota; Flavobacteriia; Flavobacteriales; Flavobacteriaceae. The record is from RNAcentral.